Molecule: transfer RNA, 84 nt
Filed under: Bacteroidales bacterium
Lineage: Bacteria; Pseudomonadati; Bacteroidota; Bacteroidia; Bacteroidales
Description: tRNA-Leu
Rfam family: tRNA
About the family: Transfer RNA (tRNA) molecules are approximately 80 nucleotides in length. Their secondary structure includes four short double-helical elements and three loops (D, anti-codon, and T loops).
Source: RNAcentral
GCCCAGGUGGUGGAAUUGGUAGACACGCCAGCUUGAGGGGCUGGUGGCCAUUAGGCCGUGCAAGUUCGAGUCUUGUUCUGGGCA